GAACAUUCCAUCCCUCCUGGAGAGGCUUCCUGUUGAGUACAUGGAGAAGCUCCUGAAACAAUGUCAGUCACCCUCUCAGUGAUCCAUACACCUUGCAGUGUUCUUCUGUGCUCCCAGAGCCCUGAUGAUAAGCUUCCCUGGCCCCAGUUCAUCAAAUGAAAUAUCUAUCAUUAGUGGAAUCCUUUCCUGGACAAAGCUGAGGUAUUUCCUAAGUGCCAAGAAUAUGCAGAUGGACAGCCACAGCCUCUGUGCUCAGGAAAUUCACUGUCUAAGGAAGGGGAAAGACAGGGCCGGUCUCCUGGAGCACCACAGUCUUGGAAAGAUGGAAACAACUGAAUGUGGACCACCAGCAUCUAUACUGAGAGGGAAUACAAGAAAGACAGCUUACCUGAGAUGAGGAAUCUGGGAGAGCCCCCAAAUCUCACAGCCUGUUAGUGCCCUCAGAGGUCUUGAAUCCCAGCCCUGGAUCUUUCCACCAUGGCUCACACCACUACCUUAUCAGUUCUCCAGCCUGGGGAUGGUACUCCUCUUUAUCUGUCCUGGGCAGGGAUCCUCACUGUAUCUUUUACUACUCUUCCAUGUUGAUACCUCCUCCAGCCCUGGGCCGAGAGUGAGCAUUCAGCAAAUAUUUGUCAAUUGACGGUCUUAUUGGAUGUUCCAGAAUAAGCUGAGAGGAUGCAGUGCCCUUCUCAGCUGUAUUUCUAGGAAGGACAGAUUGAGUCUUUCAGGGCUACACCCCAACCCUAGCUGAUGUCCUGGUAUUUCAAGACAAGUCAGCAAAAACAAGGAUCUGUCACUGUUCUGGUUUCUAGCUUAUUUACCCAGCCAAAUACAAGCCAUUUUACUCCUCUCCAGUUGUCCCAAUAUGCUCACCAGUUUGGCAUGUACCAUAUUAACCUUGUCCAGGAGUGAAAAAAAAAAUAGAAGGGACACCGAAAUAAAAUCUCAGGAGAAUUAAAAGUAAU
Molecule: long non-coding RNA, 965 nt
Organism: Canis lupus familiaris (dog)
Lineage: Eukaryota; Metazoa; Chordata; Mammalia; Carnivora; Canidae
Exons: 5
Source: RefSeq, a predicted model, not a curated record